Molecule: long non-coding RNA, 217 nt
Organism: Panicum virgatum (switchgrass)
Lineage: Eukaryota; Viridiplantae; Streptophyta; Magnoliopsida; Poales; Poaceae
Exons: 2
Source: RefSeq, a predicted model, not a curated record
GUUGACACCUCAAAACUAGAAAGAACAGAGAGCCAGCAGCCAGAUUGACCUGGAACCAUUUUGAUUUGAUUUUUGCUAUGGUAAGAACUCAGAAAUCAGAAAGAAGAUAGACAAAAGUGACCAGGUAUAUAUUAUAUUGCUGGGUUUGAUAAUUUACCUUUCCUUUAUCUUUGUGAUGAUAGUAUCAUCAGCAUCAACUGCCACAGUUGGCUAAAAG